GCGAACGCUGGCGGCAGGCCUAAUACAUGCAAGUCGAACGGUCUCUUCGGAGGCAGUGGCGGACGGGUGAGUAACGCGUGGGAACGUGCCCUUUGGUACGGAACAACUGAGGGAAACUUCAGCUAAUACCGUAUGUGCCCUUCGGGGGAAAGAUUUAUCGCCAUUGGAGCGGCCCGCGUUGGAUUAGCUAGUUGGUGGGGUAAUGGCCCACCAAGGCGACGAUCCAUAGCUGGUCUGAGAGGAUGAUCAGCCACACUGGGACUGAGACACGGCCCCAGACUCCUACGGGAGGCAGCAGUAGGGAAUCUUGCGCAAUGGGCGAAAGCCUGACGCAGCCAUGCCGCGUGAAUGAUGAAGGUCUUAGGAUUGUAAAAUUCUUUCACCGGGGACGAUAAUGACGGUACCCGGAGAAGAAGCCCCGGCUAACUUCGUGCCAGCAGCCGCGGUAAUACGAGGGGCUAGCGUUGCUCGGAAUUACGUGGGCGUAAAGGGCGCGUAGGCGGAUAGUUAGUCAGAGGUGAAAGCCCAGGGCUA
RNAcentral lists this ribosomal RNA (534 nucleotides) under uncultured bacterium. Its description in RNAcentral is "bacterial SSU rRNA". It matches the Rfam family "Bacterial small subunit ribosomal RNA", at positions 29 to 610 of the family's 1533-position model. The record is from RNAcentral.